RNAcentral lists this long non-coding RNA (487 nucleotides) under Vigna radiata. RNAcentral's name for it is "long non-coding RNA (VRAD_LNC015018)". The record is from RNAcentral. Lineage: Eukaryota; Viridiplantae; Streptophyta; Magnoliopsida; Fabales; Fabaceae.
UAAGGUCCUUUUGAGUGCCAACCUUUAUUGCAAACUGAAUUAAUUGCUUGAUUGUCUUGAUUGGAAAUCUGUCACCAAGUGUUUGAUGAAAGUCCUUGGUGCAAAUUCUGUUUGAUAUUUCCAGCAGUAGCAAAAUCUAUUUUCUGUGGCAAUUACAUUGAUCUGGUGGAUUCUUUGUGAGUGUUUUGUGGCUGCAGAAAAGCUUCAAGCAAUUACCUAUUGUUGGUAGCAUAUUAGAAAGAAGAUUGGUGAGGUUAAAGUUGGUUGAAGGGUGGCUUGGUGUUNCAGAUUUCUCACGGCAGAGUGCAGAAUUUGCUCCAGACUUUGUUGCAACAACAGCAACUGCUGGACAGAGUGCGAAACACCAUGAGUUAGCCUCAUUUUUUGACUGCAACUGUGAGCUUUGUGUGGCUACAUCUAGUGCCAACAAGUUUCCUUUGAAGAGAAGCCAAAGUUGCACUUCCAAACCCCUUCCAUUGUUANNNNN